UUAAAUUGAAGAGUUUGAUCAUGGCUCAGAUUGAACGCUGGCGGCAGGCCUAACACAUGCAAGUCGAACGGUAACAGGAAACAGCUUGCUGUUUCGCUGACGAGUGGCGGACGGGUGAGUAAUGUCUGGGAAACUGCCUGAUGGAGGGGGAUAACUACUGGAAACGGUAGCUAAUACCGCAUAAUGUCGCAAGACCAAAGAGGGGGACCUUCGGGCCUCUUGCCAUCGGAUGUGCCCAGAUGGGAUUAGCUAGUAGGUGGGGUAACGGCUCACCUAGGCGACGAUCCCUAGCUGGUCUGAGAGGAUGACCAGCCACACUGGAACUGAGACACGGUCCAGACUCCUACGGGAGG
RNAcentral lists this ribosomal RNA (353 nucleotides) under Escherichia coli. RNAcentral's name for it is "bacterial SSU rRNA". It matches the Rfam family "Bacterial small subunit ribosomal RNA", at positions 1 to 348 of the family's 1533-position model. Lineage: Bacteria; Pseudomonadati; Pseudomonadota; Gammaproteobacteria; Enterobacterales; Enterobacteriaceae. The record is from RNAcentral.